UUAAGUCCCGCAACGAGCGCAACCCUUGUCUUUAGUUGCCAUCAUUAAGUUGGGCACUCUAAAGAGACUGCCGGUGUCAAACCGGAGGAAGGUGGGGAUGACGUCAAGUCCUCAUGGCCUUUAUGACCAGGGCUACACACGUACUACAAUGGCAGGUACAAAGGGCAGCCACUUAGCGAUAAGGCGCGAAUCCCAUAAAACCUGUCUCAGUCCGGAUUGGAGUCUGCAACUCGACUCCAUGAAGUUGGAAUCGCUAGUAAUCGCAGAUCAGCAUGCCGCGGUGGAUACGUUCCCGGGCCUU
RNAcentral lists this ribosomal RNA (301 nucleotides) under uncultured Desulfocapsa sp. Its description in RNAcentral is "bacterial SSU rRNA". It matches the Rfam family "Bacterial small subunit ribosomal RNA", at positions 1080 to 1382 of the family's 1533-position model. Lineage: Bacteria; Pseudomonadati; Thermodesulfobacteriota; Desulfobulbia; Desulfobulbales; Desulfocapsaceae. The record is from RNAcentral.